Molecule: ribosomal RNA, 274 nt
Filed under: uncultured bacterium
Lineage: Bacteria
Description: partial 16S ribosomal RNA
Rfam family: Bacterial small subunit ribosomal RNA
Source: RNAcentral
AUACAGAGGGUGCGAGCGUUAAUCGGAAUUACUGGGCGCAAAGCGCGCGUAGGCGGCUUAUUAAGUCAGAUGUGAAAUCCCCGGGCUCAACCUGGGAACUGCAUCUGAUACUGGUAAGCUAGAGUUUUGGAGAGGGAAGUAGAAUUUCAGGUGUAGCGGUGAAAUGCAUAGAGAUCUGAAGGAAUACCAGUGGCGAAGGCGACUUCCUGGCCAAAAACUGACGCUGAGGUGCGAAAGCGUGGGUAGCAAACGGGAUUAGAAACCCCAGUAGUCC